RNAcentral lists this small nucleolar RNA (107 nucleotides) under Olea europaea subsp. europaea. RNAcentral describes it as "Plant small nucleolar RNA R71". It matches the Rfam family "Plant small nucleolar RNA R71". From Rfam's summary of the family: R71 is a member of the C/D box family of snoRNAs containing the C (UGAUGA) and D (CUGA) box motifs. Multiple nearly identical copies of this snoRNA have been identified in Arabidopsis, and it is thought to function as a 2'-O-ribose methylation guide for 18S ribosomal RNA. Lineage: Eukaryota; Viridiplantae; Streptophyta; Magnoliopsida; Lamiales; Oleaceae. The record is from Rfam by way of RNAcentral.
AUCUCAUGAUGUGGACACUUCCGCAGCAUAUUCUUCAACCUAUUCCAGGCUUCAUCAAAGUUCUUGGAGUCGCCCUGACGAAAGACAGAUAUGUCAUGUUUGAGUUU